Molecule: ribosomal RNA, 524 nt
Filed under: uncultured bacterium
Lineage: Bacteria
Description: partial 16S ribosomal RNA
Rfam family: Bacterial small subunit ribosomal RNA
Source: RNAcentral
GACGAACGCUGGCGGCGUGCUUAACACAUGCAAGUCGAACGGACAGACAGAGAGCUUGCUCUCUUGAAGUUAGUGGCGAACGGGUGAGUAACGCGUAAUCAACCUGCCCUUCAGAGGGGGGUAACAACGGGAAACCGUUGCUAAUACCGCGUACGAUUCAUGAACGGCAUCGUUUAUGAAUGAAAGGUGGCCUCUAUGUAUAAGCUAUCGCUGAAGGAGGGGAUUGCGUCUGAUUAGCUAGUUGGAGAGGUAACGGCCCACCAAGGCAAUGAGCAGUAGCCGGUCUGAGAGGAUGAACUGCCACAAUGGGACUGAGACACGGACCAAAGUCCUACGGGAGGCAGCAGUGGGGAAUCUUCCGCAAUGGACGAAAGUCUGACGGAGCAACGCCGCGUGAGUGAUGAAGGUCUUCGGAUUGUAAAGCUCUGUUAAUCGGGACGAAAGAGUUCUGCGUGAAUAAUGCAGAAAAGUGACGGUACCGGAAUAGAAAGCCACGGCUAACUACGUGCCAGCAGCCGCGGUAA